RNAcentral lists this transfer RNA (76 nucleotides) under Planctomycetota bacterium. RNAcentral's name for it is "tRNA-Lys". It matches the Rfam family "tRNA". From Rfam's summary of the family: Transfer RNA (tRNA) molecules are approximately 80 nucleotides in length. Their secondary structure includes four short double-helical elements and three loops (D, anti-codon, and T loops). The record is from RNAcentral. Lineage: Bacteria; Pseudomonadati; Planctomycetota.
GCUUCCGUAGCUCAGUCGGUAGAGCAGCGGAUUCUUAAUCCGCGGGUCGAAGGUUCAAGUCCUUCCGGGAGUACCA